RNAcentral lists this ribosomal RNA (446 nucleotides) under uncultured bacterium. Its description in RNAcentral is "partial 16S ribosomal RNA". It matches the Rfam family "Bacterial small subunit ribosomal RNA", at positions 338 to 795 of the family's 1533-position model. The record is from RNAcentral.
CCUACGGGUGGCAGCAGUCGAGAAUCAUUCACAAUGGGGGAAACCCUGAUGGUGCGACGCCGCGUGGGGGAAUGAAGGUCUUCGGAUUGUAAACCCCUGUCAUGUGGGAGCAAAUUAAAAAGAUAGUACCACAAGAGGAAGAGACGGCUAACUCUGUGCCAGCAGCCGCGGUAAUACAGGGGUCUCAAGCGUUGUUCGGAAUCACUGGGCGUAAAGCGUGCGUAGGCUGUUUCGUAAGUCGUGUGUGAAAGGUGCGGGCUCAACCCGCGGACGGCACAUGAUACUGCGAGACUAGAGUAAUGGAGGGGGAACCGGAAUGCUCGGUGUAGCAAUGAAAUGCGUAGAUAUCGAGAGGAACACUCGUGGCGAAGGCGGGUUCCUGGACAUUAACUGACGCUGAGGCAUGAAGGCCAGGGGAGCGAAAGGGAUUAGAUACCCUGGUAGUC